CUGACUCCUUGAGAGUCCUGAAGGAACGUUGAAGACGACGACGUUGAUAGGCCGGGUGUGUAAGCGCAGCGAUGCGUUGAGCUAACCGGUACUAAUGAACCGUGAGGCUUAACCUUACAACGCCGAAG
This 128-nucleotide ribosomal RNA is filed under the name Escherichia coli. Its description in RNAcentral is "partial 23S ribosomal RNA". It matches the Rfam family "Bacterial large subunit ribosomal RNA", at positions 2807 to 2925 of the family's 2925-position model. The record is from RNAcentral. Lineage: Bacteria; Pseudomonadati; Pseudomonadota; Gammaproteobacteria; Enterobacterales; Enterobacteriaceae. RNAcentral also lists the same sequence under 1 other name.